RNAcentral lists this ribosomal RNA (491 nucleotides) under uncultured bacterium. RNAcentral's name for it is "partial 16S ribosomal RNA". It matches the Rfam family "Bacterial small subunit ribosomal RNA", at positions 29 to 506 of the family's 1533-position model. The record is from RNAcentral.
AGUGAACGCUGGCGGUAGGCCUAACACAUGCAAGUCGAACGGCAGCACAGUAAGAGCUUGCUCUUACGGGUGGCGAGUGGCGGACGGGUGAGGAAUACAUCGGAAUCUACUUUUUCGUGGGGGAUAACGUAGGGAAACUUACGCUAAUACCACAUACGACCUACGGGUGAAAGCAGGGGAUCUUCGGACCUUGCGCGAUUGAAUGAGCCGAUGUCGGAUUAGCUAGUUGGCGGGGUAAAGGCCCACCAAGGCGACGAUCCGUAGCUGGUCUGAGAGGAUGAUCAGCACAGAGGGAAGUGGAGACCGGUCCAGGCUCCUACGGGAGGCAGCGGGGGGGAAUGUGGAGAAAGGGGCGGAAGCCUGAGCCCACCAUACCGCGUGGGUGAAGAAGGCCUUCGGUUGGUAAAGCCUUUUUGUGGGGAAAAAAAAGAAGCAGGUUAAAACCCCGCUGUUCUGGCGGUACCAAAAAAAGAAGCACCGGCGAACUUCGU